Molecule: long non-coding RNA, 1174 nt
Filed under: Anser brachyrhynchus (Pink-footed goose)
Lineage: Eukaryota; Metazoa; Chordata; Aves; Anseriformes; Anatidae
Description: lncRNA (ENSABRG00000021643.1)
Source: RNAcentral
AGUACCUGGCUUGAUGGCCGCAGACAGGUCCCACCUAUCUCUAAGGGGAAAACGGAUGCUAGCCCAGGAGCUGGCAGGGCUCAUGGAGAGGGCUUUAAACUAGGUAAGAAGGGGAACCGUGUGGGAAUAAGGCUCGUUAGAGGUGUGCCAGGGAGAACAAUGUCAGGGUCAGGGGAGCAGGCAAUGGCCCAUCUGAAGUGCAUCUACACUAAUGCACGCAGCAUGGGCAACAAACAGGAGGAGUUGGAAGCCAUUGUGCAGCAGGCUAGCUAUGACUUGGUUGCAAUCACUGAAAUGUGGUGGGACCACUCUCAUGACUGGAGUGCCGCAAUGACUGGUUAUAGGCUCUUCAGAAGGGACAGGCAGCACAGAAGGGGUGGUGGUGUGGCUCUCUAUAUCAGAGAAUGUUUUGAUGUUGUGGAACUUGAGGCUGGGACUGGUAAGGUUGAGUCCCUAUGGGUUAGGAUCAGUGGGAAGGCCAACAAGGCAAGCAUCCUGGUGGGGGUCUGUUAUGGACUGCCAAACCAGGAUGAGGAGACAGAUGAGGAAUUCUACAGGCAGCUGGCAAAAGUUGCAAAAUCGUCAGCGCUUAUUCUCAUGGGGGACUUCAACUUCCCAGACAUACCCUGGAGAUGCAAUACAGCCCAGAGAAAGCAGUCUAGGAGGUUUCUGGAGAGCGUGGAAGAUAGCUUCCUGACGCAGCUGGUUAGUGGGCCUACCAGGGGAGGUGCCCCUCUAGACCUUCUGUUCACAAACAGAGGUCUGGUGGGAGAUGUGGUGGUCGGGAGCUAUCUUGGGCAGAGUGACCACGAAAUGGUAGAGUUCUCUAUUCUUGGUGAAGUCAGGAAAGGGAUCAGUAAAACUGCUGUCUUGGACUUCCGAAGGGCAGAAGGACGCUGUUGGCAGAGUCCCUUGGGAGGCAGUUCUGAAGGGCAAAGGAGUCCAGGAAGGCUGGGCACUCCUCAAGAAGGAAAUCUUAAUGGUUCAGGAGUAGUCUGUCCCCACGUGUCCAAAGAUGAGCCAGCAUGGAAGAAGACCGGCCUGGCUGAACAGAGAGUUGUGGCUAGAGCUUAGGAAAAAAAAGAGGGUUUAUGAUCUUUGGAAAAGAGGGCAGGCCACUCAGAAGGAUUAUAAGGAUGUUGUAAGGAUGUGUAGGGAGAAAAUUAGAAAGGCC